Molecule: ribosomal RNA, 532 nt
Filed under: Blastocystis sp.
Lineage: Eukaryota; Bigyra; Opalinata; Blastocystidae
Description: bacterial SSU rRNA
Rfam family: Eukaryotic small subunit ribosomal RNA
Source: RNAcentral
CAAUACGAAGCCUUUGGUUUUGUAAUUGAAUUGAGAACAAUGUACAAUCGUUAUCGAUAAACAAUUGGAGGGCAAGUCUGGUGCCAGCAGCCGCGGUAAUUCCAGCUCCAAUAGCGUAUAUUAACGUUGUUGCAGUUAAAAAGCUCGUAGUUGAAGUUUAGAUGAUUUGUUGAGAGUGUUAGUAUUCGUACUAUCUGCCCUCAAUAGAUUAUCGACUUCCAGGUAAGCUCAAUAAUCCCUCCGGGGAUUAUUGUGCCAGACUGGUCUUUUACUGUGAGAAAAUUAGAGUGUUUAAAGCAGACUUUUUUAGUUUGAAUAGAUUAGCAUGGAAUAAUAAGAUUGGCUUUCAUAGUCGAUUUUUUGGUUUGUUUAUGAAAGCAAGAUUAAUAGGGACAGUUGGGGGUAUUCAUAUUCAAUAGCUAGAGGUGAAAUUCUAUGAUUUAUGGAAGAUGAACUAGUGCGAAAGCAUUUACCAAGGAUGUUUUCAUUAAUCAAGAACGAAAGCUAGGGGAUCAAAGAGGAUUAGAUACCC